This 302-nucleotide ribosomal RNA is filed under the name Pratylenchus thornei. Its description in RNAcentral is "eukaryotic LSU rRNA". It matches the Rfam family "Eukaryotic large subunit ribosomal RNA", at positions 666 to 940 of the family's 3401-position model. The record is from RNAcentral. Lineage: Eukaryota; Metazoa; Nematoda; Chromadorea; Rhabditida; Pratylenchidae.
CCAAGGAGUUUAUCGUGUGCGCAAGUCAUUGGGUGUUGAAAACCCAGAGGCGCAAUGAAAGUGAAGGUAUCCCUCGCGGAGCCGACGUGCGAGCACGGGCACUGCGGUGUCCGAGUGCAGCAUGGCCCCAUCCUGACUGCUUGCAGUGGGGUGGAGGAAGAGCGUACGCGGUGAGACCCGAAAGAUGGUGAACUAUUCCUGAGCAGGAUGAAGCCAGAGGAAACUCUGGUGGAAGUCCGAAGCGAUUCUGACGUGCAAAUCGAUCGUCUGACUUGGGUAUAGGGGCGAAAGACUAAUCGAAC